GAUGAACGCUGGCGGCGUGCCUAAUACAUGCAAGUCGAGCGAACAGACGAGGCGCUUGCUCCUCUGACGUUAGCGGCGGACGGGUGAGUAACGCGUGGAUCACCUACCUAUAUGACUGGUAUAACCUCGGGAAACCGGAGCAAAUACCGGAUAAUAUAUUGAACCGCAUGGUUCAUUAGUGAAAGUCGGCUUUGCUGUCACUUAUAGAUGGAUCUGCGCCGUAUUAGCUGGUUGGUAGGGUACCGGCUUUCCAAGGGUACCAUGCGUGGACGAGGUGUGAGACGGGUCGGCCGCAUGGGAACUGGGACACGGUCCAGGCUCCUACGGGACGCAGCAGUAGGGAAUGUUCGGCAAUGGGCGGAAGCCUGACGGAGCGGCGCCGCGUGAGUGAUGAAGGUCUUCGGUGCGUAAAACUCGGUUAUUGGGGAAGAACAAAUGUGUAAGUAACUGUGGACGUAGUGACGGUACCUAAUCAGAAAGCCACGGCUAACUACGUG
Molecule: ribosomal RNA, 497 nt
Filed under: uncultured bacterium
Lineage: Bacteria
Description: partial 16S ribosomal RNA
Rfam family: Bacterial small subunit ribosomal RNA
Source: RNAcentral